Molecule: long non-coding RNA, 1141 nt
Filed under: Nicotiana benthamiana
Lineage: Eukaryota; Viridiplantae; Streptophyta; Magnoliopsida; Solanales; Solanaceae
Description: long non-coding RNA (NBEN_LNC030852)
Source: RNAcentral
GCAGACAUUUGCUCAAUGAGCAGUUUCUCUUUCAGGUUCUCAACCUGUUUCUCUAUAGCAACAUUGCCCUUAGUCAGAUGAGCAACCUAUGUAUUUGAAGAACUGGAGCUCCCUGCCUGUUGGGUCUCUAAUAUGGCAUUCCUUGUUUUCAACUUUCUAAUUUCUUCAGUAGCACUAUUGUGAACAUUUAUAAGCAGGGAAAUCAUUGAAGUGCUCCAUACCCCUCCAAUUAUGUCAAUACACUCACAUUCCUCUAGAGUAGUUUUGCAGAUAGUCUGUUUUUGGGUCCCAUCUUAGGCUAUCCCAAAUGCACUUUAAAGAAUUUGAAGGCACGCGUGACGAGAAAUCCAUAGGGGAGGCCAUGAUUUCCAUCUUUGAAUGCUGCCACCUUUUGCAUAUGCUCAAUCGUUAUGGCUGGUAGAUUAACAGUUUGAAACUCAUCUAGUGCUUCCAUUAGAUAUGGAUCAGCCUUGGACGUGAUGGACCUCUUGUUAGAGUGAGGAAGCAGGACCUUGUUUACCAACUCAAAAAUCAACUGAUAAACAUGAAGCAAAGCUUUCUUAUGCACUUGUUUCCCCUGCUACACUGAUUUCUCUUUAGCUAUGACAUGCCUAAAGUUUGAGCCACAGGAACCUCUAACAGAAGACAGACCUUCAUUAGGAACUCUAAGUUAGUCUCCUAACACAGCAGAGUCCAUAAAAAUGUCUACGCCAUUCACUAGUGCGCAGAUGUGAGCAGAUUCAAUAGUAAAAAGGCUUGCAUAGAAACGUUGAACGCUUCCUCAUAUACAUUGGGCACAUCCACCUUGAAUAGGUGUCCCCACUGUUGAAAUUCAGCCAUCUCAAGCACUUGCCACAUGCCAGCCAUCUGAGAUAUCGCAUGUUUAAAAGUACGACUCCAUAGUACUUUCUUGUACCUCAGCCUUUCUUUGCCAGAUAUACUUCCAUGUCUUUCCUUCUUCACAGAACCGAGUUCUUUCACAUCCACCAAUUUCCUUUUCACAGACUUUCCACUGGACUUAACUUUCCCACUCGACUUCACUUGCACAUCCUUAUCAGACACAGAAUCUUCUACCACAGUUUCCUUCAACUUGUCACUAUCCUUUACUGACUUUUCACUAGGUGUUCCAACAACCUCUUUU